Panicum virgatum (switchgrass) is the source of this 2211-nucleotide long non-coding RNA. RefSeq lists it as uncharacterized. The record is from RefSeq and is a predicted model, not a curated record. Lineage: Eukaryota; Viridiplantae; Streptophyta; Magnoliopsida; Poales; Poaceae. The transcript has 15 exons.
AGUAGCAACAAUACUUGCUACUAUACGACCCAUCACCCAUUUCUAGAUGUGCCAGCAAACAAUGAACCAUUGGCUGCAUCUUAUUUCCCAAGUAUACUCGCAGAACUGGGUGGAUUUGUGGAUCAGAUUGAUAGCAGGACAAGGCAGUCGCAGGCAAGGGCAGCCCUGGCAAAGUUUGAUGCCAAAUCCAAGAAAGCGUCAAGCUAUAUGAACACGGGGCAACUGAUGUUACAGAAUGCACACCAGGAAGUUAUACGAAAUCUGCGGGCAAUUUUGCAGGACAAGGCGCAUGGCAACAUUUGUCAAGAUCAUCAUCAUCAACCCAACACUUCUGAUACAGCUCAAGCCGAUGAUGUCAGCAUACAUGGUAGCCGUAAUGGUCAUAACAUGGGAUCUGAACAUGUAUUUGACAAAGAGGUUCCAUCUGAAACAAGGGAAAAUGAGUUGCAUUCUGGUGGCCACCCUAAUCAGGAUAGGCCUUUGCGGUUCGCACAAAACGGGGCACGAGAACCAGAUCUGCCAAACCAUGCAACUCUGCACCAUACCCAUGAUGAAACUUUCCCUCACACUGAUAAUGUACAUUGUGAUAAGGACAUGGAAGGUGAACCUUCACUAGUUUCCUCUCAGGUCUGACUAGUGAUCAUGUACUACCUCCUGACGUGGCUGAAGGAGACACAACAGUAGCCUUACCAAUUACUACUCAAGCCGGUGAUGUUUAUAUGCAUGAUACUCACACUGGGCACAAUAUGGGAUUUGAACAUGAGUUUGACAUGCCAAUUCAAUUAGAAACAAGGGCAAAUGAAUUGCAUUCUGGUGACCACACCAACCAAGACAUCAACCACGCCACACCUAUGCAGUUGGAACAACACAUGGCCCUAGAAUCAGGGAUCCCAAUCCCUGUAGCGCAGCACAAUAGCCAUGACGAUAGUUUCCCUCGUUCUGAUAAUCACAAUAUAGAGGAUGAUAAGGAAAUUGAAGACGAACCUUCACCUAUCUGUUCUCAGGUUCCCAUAAAUGUAACCAUUGAUCAACUCGUGCCUCCUAUUGCAGCUAAAGGAGCUACUAGCCUAGACAUUGCUGGCAUUGCAGGAAGCCAUCAUAAUGCUGAUGCUGCAACCUCAAACUACAGUGUGACUAUACCAGCACCAGGUGUUGUUUUGGACACCGACGAUCCAGAACCAUAUCAGAUGGAAGCAACUGAUAUGGCAACUGACGACCCCCUAGGCCCUGUUCUUUUCCAUCCUUGCACUCAAAACGAGCUCAUCCAGCAUCCAUCAGUUGUUCCUAGACCACAAUGCCUUACCAAACGCCCAGCCAUGUAUGUGUCACCUUUUAAAGGUGAUCCACAAUGAGCAAAAGUUUCUAUGUCAAAAGCACUUGCUGUAAGGAAGAAGUUCCACCCUCACCUAAAGUGUUUAAGUGAUGUGUUCAUCUGCUACGGUCUGAAAGAAUUCAAUGGAGAAGAAAUAUUCGAAUCGUUCGUUGAUGACGAAUGGCUUUCAACCAAAUUCAUGUCCUACUUUGUUGUUUGCUUGAGCCAUGAUGAAUCAAUCCACAUGGCUGAGGGUGCUGGAUACAGGGUCUUCCUAUCUCCAGAGAUUGGGGAAUAUGUAAAUAUAGAGGAAGAUGAGGGCUUUUCCCAGUGGGAUUCUCCACCGGCCCUAGCCAUUUUACAGCGUGACAUUGAGCACAUCGACCCAACCAAAGUAAAGCUUUUCUUUUUGCCGGUGAUGGAGGAGGACCACUAUAGUGUCUACUGCAUCAAUUUCAUUCACGAUCGGAUAGAUGUACUUGAUUCUAGUCCAGAAGACCACACAAUUUAUCAUAAUGUUCUCGGUGACCGGAUCAUUCGAAGGCUUAAUCUCCUAUUCCAGCUGGCCACGGAUUAUAGAGUCAAGCAGUUUACUCGAUUCAAGCGCCCAAUAAUUGACGUAUGUAUGCACUCACAUGAGAAUGAUUGUGGAUUCUUUACAAUCAAGUUCAUGGAGCUUUGGAAUGGUGAAUCUUUCCAUGUUCCCAUCCUCACGGCAAACGGACGUCUGUAUAGGUCUGAGCUCUUAUUCUACGGCCUCUACCAUCCACUGAACACUAUCAAGAAGCUCCCUGCUGGACUAGAAGCAUACAGGCCUCGUCUGUGACCCUCCUGUCUCCUCCAAAUUAUCGUCGAAAUAUGUGUGCAAGUGAACAAGUCUGUUAUCAAUUUUUUCCCAC